RNAcentral lists this ribosomal RNA (468 nucleotides) under uncultured bacterium. Its description in RNAcentral is "partial 16S ribosomal RNA". It matches the Rfam family "Bacterial small subunit ribosomal RNA", at positions 28 to 507 of the family's 1533-position model. The record is from RNAcentral.
GGCGAACGCUGGCGGCGUGCUUAACACAUGCAAGUCGAACGGAAAGGCCCUGCUUUUGUGGGGUGCUCGAGUGGCGAACGGGUGAGUAACACGUGAGUAACCUGCCCUUGACUUUGGGAUAACUUCAGGAAACUGGGGCUAAUACCGGAUAGGAGCUCCUGCUGCAUGGUGGGGGUUGGAAAGUUUCGGCGGUUGGGGAUGGACUCGCGGCUUAUCAGCUUGUUGGUGGGGUAGUGGCUUACCAAGGCUUUGACGGGUAGCCGGCCUGAGAGGGUGACCGGCCACAUUGAGACUGAGAUACGGCCCAGACUCCUACGGGAGGCAGCAGUGGGGAAUAUUGCACAAUGGGCGGAAGCCUGAUGCAGCAACGCCGCGUGCGGGAUGACGGCCUUCGGGUUGUAAACCGCUUUCGCCUGUGACGAAGCGUGAGUGACGGUAAUGGGUAAAGAAGCACCGGCUAACUACGUG